RNAcentral lists this small RNA (27 nucleotides) under Bombyx mori (domestic silkworm). RNAcentral describes it as "ovarian small RNA-23083". The record is from RNAcentral. Lineage: Eukaryota; Metazoa; Arthropoda; Insecta; Lepidoptera; Bombycidae.
UAGUGUAUUAAUACCUAGGUUGACGUC